Molecule: long non-coding RNA, 767 nt
Filed under: Rattus norvegicus (Norway rat)
Lineage: Eukaryota; Metazoa; Chordata; Mammalia; Rodentia; Muridae
Description: long non-coding RNA NONRATT025286
Source: RNAcentral
ACUCUUUGUUAAGUUUCUGGAAACAGAAUCUCAUCCAUCUGUCCCGCCCCCAAAGCUGUCCGUUCAUGACCUGAAGCCUUUAGAUUCUCCAGGAAGAAGGAAAGUCGACACAGGCACAGCCGAAGGCUUUAGAGAUACAGCGGAAUCCAGGGCAGGAAGAAGAACAGACAUGAAUCCAUUCUUGGCUCCCCGCUCAGCAGCCGUGCCCCUUAUUAACCCAGCUGGACAUGGGCCUGGUGGGCCUGGGCAUCUCCUUCUGAAACCCAUCUCAGACGUUCUACCCACGUUUACACCUUUGCCAGUGUCGCCUGACAACAGCGCUGGUGUUGUGCUGAAAGACCUUCUAAAGCAAUAGGUAGCUUUCAGGGCUGAGACUAUGUAGCACUUUAAAGAAACCAUGACACUGUGUGUGUGUGAACUUAUCACAAAGUGGCCUUCUGGAGAGUUAUGUAUUUAUAAUUGUAAUUUCUCUGUUAAUAAAAAUAUUCUUAAUGCUUUUAGAAAUUGCAGGUGUCAGAAGAGCAAGUAUGGAAGAUAUAAUCUGCUUUUUUUUCCCUUUAUGAUGUUACCUAAUUUAAAACUAGAAACAUUUGGUUUCCUUUUCAAUUUACAAAACUCUAAAGGAGAGGCAAGAACAGUAAACUGUGCCUGCUUUUAUCUCCCUGCAUUUUCAAGCUCAUUUAAUAUAUGAGCAUGUGGUUCAUCUUUUAAAGAUAAGGAAUCAACUGUCCCCGACCCCCCAUUGAUGCCUAAUAAAGGCUUCUGUC